RNAcentral lists this ribosomal RNA (426 nucleotides) under uncultured bacterium. RNAcentral's name for it is "partial 16S ribosomal RNA". It matches the Rfam family "Bacterial small subunit ribosomal RNA", at positions 354 to 796 of the family's 1533-position model. The record is from RNAcentral.
GUGAGGAAUUUUCCGCAAUGGGCGAAAGCCUGACGGAGCAAUGCCGCGUGAAGGAUGAAGGCCUAUGGGUUGUAAACUUCUUUUCUUAGAGAAGAAUAUUUACGGUAUCUGAGGAAUAAGCAUCGGCUAACUCUGUGCCAGCAGCCGCGGUAAGACAGAGGAUGCAAGCGUUAUCCGGAAUGAUUGGGCGUAAAGCGUCUGUAGGUGGCUUCAAAAGUCUCCUGUCAAAGAUCAGGGCUUAACCCUGGGCCGGCAGGAGAAAGUCGGAGGCUAGAGUUUGGUAGGGGCAGAGGGAAUACCCGGAUGAGCGGUGAAAUGCGUAGAGAUCGGGAGGAACACCAAAGGCGAAAGCACUCUGCUGGGCAACAACUGACACUGAGGGACGAAAGCGAGCGGAGCAAAAGGGAUUAGAAACCCGAGUAGUCC